UUGGAGGGCAGUCUGGUGCCAGCAGCCGCGGUAAUUCCAGCUCCAAUAGCGUAUAUUAAAGUUGUUGCAGUUAAAAAGCUCGUAGUUGAAUUUCGGGGUUAGUAGGUUGGUCAUGCCUCUGGUAAGUACUGGUCUCACUGAUUCCUCCCUCUUGACGAACUGUAAUGUCAUUAAUUUGGUGUUGCAGGAAAUCAGGACUGUUACUUUGAAAAAAUUAGAGUGUUUAAAGCAGGCUAAGGCUUGAAUACAUUAGCAUGGAAUAAUGAAAUAGGACGUUUGAUCCUAUUUUGUUGGUUUCUAGGAUUGACGUAAUGAUUAAUAGGGAUAGUUGGGGGCAUUAGUAUUCAAUUGUCAGAGGUGAAAUUCUUGGAUUUAUUGAAGACUAACUACUGCGAAAGCAUUUGCCAAGGAUGUUUUCAUUAAUCAAGAACGAAAGUUAGGGGAUCGAAGACGAUCAGAUACCGUCGUAGUCUUAACCAUAAACUAUGCCGACUAGGGAUCGGAUGAUGUUAAUUUUUUAAUGACUCAUUCGGCGCCUUACGGGAAAC
Molecule: ribosomal RNA, 548 nt
Filed under: uncultured Glomeromycotina
Lineage: Eukaryota; Fungi; Glomeromycota
Description: SSU rRNA
Rfam family: Eukaryotic small subunit ribosomal RNA
Source: RNAcentral